GCUAUUUUGGCAGAUUAGUGCAAUAAAUUUAGAAUUUAUUUAUGUAAUUUUAUAUUACAAAUAGUA
RNAcentral lists this transfer RNA (66 nucleotides) under Drosophila ornatipennis. RNAcentral describes it as "tRNA-Leu". The record is from RNAcentral. Lineage: Eukaryota; Metazoa; Arthropoda; Insecta; Diptera; Drosophilidae.